RNAcentral lists this ribosomal RNA (317 nucleotides) under uncultured Treponema sp. RNAcentral describes it as "bacterial SSU rRNA". It matches the Rfam family "Bacterial small subunit ribosomal RNA", at positions 29 to 339 of the family's 1533-position model. Lineage: Bacteria; Pseudomonadati; Spirochaetota; Spirochaetia; Treponematales; Treponemataceae. The record is from RNAcentral.
AAUGAACGCUGGCGGCGGGUCUUAAGCAUGCAAGUCGGACGGCAAGAAAGUGCUUGCACUUUCCUAGAGUGGCGGACUGGUGAGGAACACGUUGGUGACGUACCCUUUGGAUGGGGAUAGCCGGUAGAAAUACCGGGUAAUACCGAAUAAGGUCGGUGGUCUUGGAAGCCACCGAGGAAAGCGGCUUUGGCCGCGCCGAAGGAACGGCCUGCGUCCCAUCAGCUUGUUGGCGGGGUAAAAGCCCACCAAGGCAAUGACGGGUAUCUGGCCUGAGAGGGUGAGCAGACACAUUGGGACUGAGAUACGGCCCAGACUCC